UGGGGAAUCUUGGACAAUGGGGGCAACCCUGAUCCAGCCAUGCCGCGUGCGGGACGAAGGCCCUCGGGUCGUAAACCGCUGUCAGGAGGGAGGAACGGUGCGUGGUUAAGAGCUGCGUACUUUGACAGUACCUCCAGAGGAAGCCCCGGCUAACUCCGUGCCAGCAGCCGCGGUAAUACGGAGGGGGUUAGCGUUGUUCGGAAUUACUGGGCGUAAAGCGCACGUAGGCGGACCAGAAAGUUGGGGGUGAAAUCCCGGGGCUCAACCCCGGAACUGCCUCCAAAACUAUUGGUCUAGAGUUCGAGAGAGGUGAGUGGAAUUCCAAGUGUAGAGGUGAAAAUUCGUAGAUAUUUGGAGGAACACCAGUGGCGAAGGCGGCUCACUGGCUCGAUACUGACGCUGAGGUGCGAAAGUGUGGGAGCAAACAGGAUUAGAUACCUGGUAGUCCACACCGUAAACGAUGAAUGCCAGUCGUCGGGUAGCAUG
RNAcentral lists this ribosomal RNA (486 nucleotides) under uncultured bacterium. Its description in RNAcentral is "bacterial SSU rRNA". It matches the Rfam family "Bacterial small subunit ribosomal RNA", at positions 355 to 834 of the family's 1533-position model. The record is from RNAcentral.